This 63-nucleotide transfer RNA is filed under the name Nisotra sp. BMNH 846636. RNAcentral's name for it is "tRNA-Phe". The record is from RNAcentral. Lineage: Eukaryota; Metazoa; Arthropoda; Insecta; Coleoptera; Chrysomelidae.
AUCUAAAUAGCUUAUAAAGAGUAUAAUAUUGAAGAUAUUAGGGAAAUAAAUUAUUUUUAGAUA